This is a long non-coding RNA of Diabrotica virgifera virgifera (western corn rootworm), 865 nucleotides long. RefSeq lists it as uncharacterized. The record is from RefSeq and is a predicted model, not a curated record. NCBI's taxonomy places the organism in Eukaryota, Metazoa, Arthropoda, Insecta, Coleoptera, Chrysomelidae. The transcript has 3 exons.
UCUACAGGUCGAGCAAGUCUCGUAAAUUUCACGAUUGCGAGCCACGCUUCACGCAACCGUGUUUGCGUACUUGUGUUUCGAGUUGCGUGGUCGUGCGGAGUUAUAUUUACCAAAUUUAAAUAUAAUCGUUUUCAAAAUUAAAUCAAUAUGGCUACUGGGUGUAAAAGAUAAAUCUUAUUCUAUCUGUUCUUAAUGAGUUUUAGAUAAUUUUAGUUGUAUUUCUUUGUAAUUUUGUGUUGUACAAAGAUUAAUUUAACAUUUUCUCUGGAAGUAUUAAUUUAGAAAGAUAAUAUGCUUCAUUGGUGUUGUGUUUUGAAGUGUGAAAUGCAAAGUAAUUGUGAUAGUUAAAUGCAAGAUAAAGUUCACUUUUAAACUGAACUAAAUAAGGUAUCUGAGAGACAACAAUGGUUAAAUGCAAUACAAUGUACAGGUUUUACUAGCGAAAUGAAAAUUUUCCUGUCCUGUCUGCUGUAAUCAUUUUAUAUCUGGAAAACCAACCGACUUAAUCGAUAAUAACAAUCUCCAGAUUGGGUUCCUUCAAUAAAUAUGGUCUAUAAACACAAUGAAAUAAGUUCCCCAAACUCUAAAAUGGAGUGGUAUCAAAGGAGAAUUAAAGGGAAAAAUAUUCAUAUUGAAAUUAUUUAUAAGGCACUGGACUGUCUUAAAUUCUACAAUAAUACUAGAAUCAGCUGAGAGAAGUGGUCUACAAAAAACCAGGAAGGAAACGGAAUAUGUGGCUACGAAAGGCAAAAGAAAGGUUUACAAAGCAAAUGUGACACAUCUUUUUGAAAUAUUUAGGAAUAUCAGUAAAUUGCAUUGAAAAAAUGUAUGAAAAGAUUUUGUUCAAUAAAAAUGUUUAUAUUUA